ACCUGUCGAAAGACGAGCUAAUACCCCGUAAGACCACGAGAACUUCGGUUCUUGAGGUAAAAGAUGGCCUCUAUUUAUAAGCUAUCACCUGAAGAUGAGUCCGCGCACCAUCAGCUAGUUGGUAGGGUAACGGCCUACCAAGGCUGAGAUGGUUAGCUGGUCUGAGAGGACGACCAGCGACACUGGAACUGAGAAACGGUCCAGACUCCUACGGGAGGCAGCAGUGGGGAAUCUUGGACAAUGGGCGAAAGCCUGAUCCAGCAACGCCGCGUGAGUGAUGAAGGCCUUCGGGUUGUAAAGCUCUGUCGGAGGGAACGAACAAGGGCGACCUAACACGUCGUCCUCUGACGGUACUCUCAAAGGAAGCACCGGCUAACUCUGUGCCAGCAGCCGCGGUAAGACAGAGGGUGCAAGCGUUGUUCGGAAUCACUGGGCGUAAAGGGGGUGUAGGCGGUAAGGUGUGUUCGGCGUGAAAGACCUCGGCUUAACCGGGGAAGUGCACUGAAUACUACCUUACUUGAGUGUGAGAGGGGAUGGCGGAAUUGUCAGUGUAGAGGUGAAAUUCGUAGAUACUGGCAGGAACACCGGAGGCGAAGGCGGCCAUCUGGAUCACAACUGACGCUGAUACUCGAAAGCGUGGGUAGCAAACAGGAUUAGAUACCCU
RNAcentral lists this ribosomal RNA (664 nucleotides) under uncultured bacterium. Its description in RNAcentral is "bacterial SSU rRNA". It matches the Rfam family "Bacterial small subunit ribosomal RNA", at positions 146 to 788 of the family's 1533-position model. The record is from RNAcentral.